Molecule: ribosomal RNA, 32 nt
Filed under: Bathycoccus prasinos
Lineage: Eukaryota; Viridiplantae; Chlorophyta; Mamiellophyceae; Mamiellales; Bathycoccaceae
Description: partial 28S ribosomal RNA
Source: RNAcentral
UUUUGACCUCAGUUCAGACAAGAUUACCCGCC